This 253-nucleotide ribosomal RNA is filed under the name uncultured bacterium. Its description in RNAcentral is "partial 16S ribosomal RNA". It matches the Rfam family "Bacterial small subunit ribosomal RNA", at positions 524 to 776 of the family's 1533-position model. The record is from RNAcentral.
GACGUAGGGGGCGAGCGUUGUCCGGAUUUACUGGGCGUAAAGCGCGUGCAGGCGGUCCGUUAAGUCUCGUGUGAAAUCCUCCGGCUCAACCGGAGAACGCCGCGGGAUACUGGCGGGCUUGAGGGCGGUAGAGGGUGAUGGAAUUCCCGGUGGAGCGGUGAAAUGCGUAGAUAUCGGGAGGAACGCCAGUGGCGAAGGCGGUCACCUGGGCCGUCCCUGACGCUGAGACGCGAAAGCUGGGGGAGCGAACGGG